Molecule: ribosomal RNA, 403 nt
Filed under: uncultured bacterium
Lineage: Bacteria
Description: bacterial SSU rRNA
Rfam family: Bacterial small subunit ribosomal RNA
Source: RNAcentral
GGGGAAUAUUGCGCAAUGGGGGAAACCCUGACGCAGCGACGCCGCGUGAAGGAAGAAGGUCUUCGGAUUGUAAACUUCUUUGGUCGGGGACGAAAAAAAUGACGGUACCCGAUAAAAAAGCCACGGCUAACUACGUGCCAGCAGCCGCGGUAAUACGUAGGUGGCAAGCGUUGUCCGGAAUUACUGGGUGUAAAGGGCGUGUAGGCGGGGAUGCAAGUCAGAUGUGAAACCCCACAGCUUAACUGUGGGCUUGCAUCUGAAACUGUAUUUCUUGAGUGUUGGAGAGGGAAGUGGAAUUCCUAGUGUAGCGGUGAAAUGCGUAGAGAUUAGGAGGAACACCAGUGGCGAAGGCGACUUCCUGGCCAACAACUGACGCUGAGGCGCGAAAGCGUGGGGAGCAAAC